AUGACCUCGGAUCAGGUAGGGAUACCCGCUGAACUUAAGCAUAUCAAUAAGCGGAGGAAAAGAAACCAACAGGGAUUACCUCAGUAACGGCGAG
Molecule: ribosomal RNA, 94 nt
Filed under: Podosphaera erigerontis-canadensis
Lineage: Eukaryota; Fungi; Ascomycota; Leotiomycetes; Helotiales; Erysiphaceae
Description: partial 28S ribosomal RNA
Rfam family: Eukaryotic large subunit ribosomal RNA
Source: RNAcentral